CUUUGCAAGACCAUCAAUGAUGCGACAGGAGGCGUAAUCAAGAUAUCAUGCAGUGCCGUGAAGUUUAGCAAACAGGCGGUGUGUGGAAAGCCUAUUGACAUCAAGGUUGUAACAGACACUCCUUUCGCUACGUGCUUGAAGGAUACUGGACUUACCUGCGUCCAAAACAAGCCAGUGGAUGAGCCAGCAUUGCUUGGAACCCUAAGAGUUUUGGCGUGCCUCGUCAGCUACGUUUUCACCACCGCUCCUGCGGACGUUGUGAAUCAGCUUGGCUGUGACUUCGUGACCUUCUUUGCCAGAAUAUUUGGACCGGCUGGAUACUUCACCUUCAAACCUUUUCUCUGCGCGUUUCAAAA
This is a long non-coding RNA of Dermacentor albipictus, 356 nucleotides long. RefSeq lists it as uncharacterized. The record is from RefSeq and is a predicted model, not a curated record. NCBI's taxonomy places the organism in Eukaryota, Metazoa, Arthropoda, Arachnida, Ixodida, Ixodidae.